Molecule: long non-coding RNA, 983 nt
Filed under: Fukomys damarensis (Damara mole-rat)
Lineage: Eukaryota; Metazoa; Chordata; Mammalia; Rodentia; Bathyergidae
Description: lncRNA (ENSFDAG00000026675.1)
Source: RNAcentral
GGGAGGCGCUUUCGGGGUGUGCUGGAUCUGUCUUUCUAGAGCAAGGGAUGCGAUGUUGAGCGGCGCGGGGCGCUGGCCGGGCCUUUCAGGGCCGAGGUUUGCGCCCUACUCUUCAUCCGCGUGCCUCCCGCUGUCCGGGACGCGCAGCCAGCCCCCGGGCACAGCGAGGGAGCCGCUCAGGCGCUAGACGCCUGUAACUCCGGGACCACAGGGCGACAGGCUCGGGGCAGCCAUGCUGGGGCACGCGGGUGCAGAUGGGCAGUGGGAGGUACGCGGGACGCUUGUGAGUCCUCGUGCCUCGUACUCCGUGGAGCUGGCUGCUGGAAGAGGGAGCUGCUUCAAGAUGAGCCCCACGGACCCGGACGCCUAGGAGCCCAGACUUCCUGCACCCCCAGGCCCUAAGGCGACCCUGGCCAGCUGCACCCAAUCAACCCCUAGCUGGAGAGACCCCAUGGCCAUGUUCCGGCUGCCCUGAGUCUGGGGCUGCAGAGCUUCCUGCCCGCAGAGCCUCCUGCCCACAGAGCCUCCUGCCCACAUCUGCAGGGCACUGAACCUGUCUGGCCCCUGACUGGCUCCCAAGCCUUCUCCUCUCUCAACCUGGUCCCAGGGACUCCCCGGCUUCAGGACUCAGCAGGGCACAGCAGCAGUUCCGUGCAUGCGGGGACCAGGACGGACAGGCUGCUGCUGCCCAGACCCCAAGACGUCUGUCUGUUUGCCUCCUGGUGCCAUCUGAUCCAGCACCCUCUCCAUGUGCAAGAGUGGAGUCCUUCCCUAGAUGUGUAGUGACGCACUUCCCCAGCUUUGGACUCAGAGCUACACCGACAGAGACCACAAUGGUACAUGCAGAGCUGAGAGCACCUGGCCCUCGGGGUACUCCAGGUAUAUGUGCGGGACCUCUGGGCCUCUUUGGGAGUGUUACAGCAGCUUUGAUGCCAGGCUUUUCUCCUGUCAUCCCUGUCCUCGGGUCCUCUGUUUAGCAGGCA